AGAUGUUGGGUUAAGUCCCGUAACGAGCGCAACCCUUGUCCUUAGUUACCAGCACGUUAUGGUGGGCACUCUAAGGAGACUGCCGGUGACAAACCGGAGGAAGGUGGGGAUGACGUCAAGUCAUCAUGGCCCUUACGGCCUGGGCUACACACGUGCUACAAUGGUCGGUACAAAGGGUUGCCAAGCCGCGAGGUGGAGCUAAUCCCAUAAAACCGAUCGUAGUCCGGAUCGCAGUCUGCAACUCGACUGCGUGAAGUCGGAAUCGCUAGUAAUCGCGAAUCAGAAUGUCGCGGUGAAUACGUUCCCGGGUCUUGUAACACACCGAA
RNAcentral lists this ribosomal RNA (326 nucleotides) under Pseudomonas sp. (2013). RNAcentral's name for it is "bacterial SSU rRNA". It matches the Rfam family "Bacterial small subunit ribosomal RNA", at positions 1070 to 1394 of the family's 1533-position model. Lineage: Bacteria; Pseudomonadati; Pseudomonadota; Gammaproteobacteria; Pseudomonadales; Pseudomonadaceae. The record is from RNAcentral.